GAUGAACGCUGGCGGCGUGCUUAACACAUGCAAGUCGAACGAGAAGUGGAGACGGAAACCUUCGGGCGGAAGACUGUAUUUCGAGUGGCGGACUGGUGAGUCACGCGUGGGUAACCUGCCUCCUACAGGGGGAUAACAGUUGGAAACGACUGUUAAUACCGCAUAAGACCACAGCACCGCAUGGUGCGGGGGUAAAAACUCCGUUGGUAUGAGAUGGACCCGCGUUCGAUUAGCCAGUUGGCGGGGUAACGGCCCACCAACGCGACGAUCGAUAGCAGAUCGGGGGGGAUGACCGGCCACAUUGGGACUGAGACACGGCCCAAACUGCGACGGGAGGCUGCAGUAGGGAAUAUUGCACAAUGGAGCAAACCCUGAUGCAGCGGCGCCGCGUGAGUGAAGAAGUAUUUCGGUAUGUAAAGCUCUAUCAGCAGGGAAGAAAAUGACGGUACCUGAGUAAGAAGCCCCGGCUAACUACGUG
RNAcentral lists this ribosomal RNA (478 nucleotides) under uncultured bacterium. Its description in RNAcentral is "partial 16S ribosomal RNA". It matches the Rfam family "Bacterial small subunit ribosomal RNA", at positions 28 to 507 of the family's 1533-position model. The record is from RNAcentral.